This 741-nucleotide long non-coding RNA is filed under the name Trifolium pratense (red clover). RNAcentral describes it as "long non-coding RNA (TPRA_LNC006529)". Lineage: Eukaryota; Viridiplantae; Streptophyta; Magnoliopsida; Fabales; Fabaceae. The record is from RNAcentral.
GUCAUAAGUAUUCUCCUUUUCCACAAUUAUAUAUACCACACAUAGAGAUAAUGGCCUUUCACGAAGCAAUUACUGCUCUUAUUCUACUCACUAAUUGACCUCAAAAAAAUUACGAAAUAAACUACUAUUCUUCAUAAAAUCACAUUGCAAAAUAGUUUAUAUAUACAAUUCCUUCAAUAAUAACAAUUAUGAAAUACACAUGUUCAACUAAUAAAUAGGUUAUCACCGACCAAUAAAUAAAAACAUUAAUUUCAUAAUUCAAUUUAGCAUUUCACAAUCCUAAAACAUAAGUUAGGUUUUCAUCAAAACAUUUUCAAAGGCUUGAUACUCUUAACAAUUAAUAUUAAUUUCUUUAGCUAAAAUAGAUAUAUUCAUGCCAACAUAUAUAAAACAAUUACACCAAAAAUAGUUAAGAGAGACUUACCUGGCUCCUAGCAAGCAAAGAAGGCAUGCCCCCACAUUCUAAGGUCAUACAAAACUGAUUCCUUUAGUAGGUAAACAUAUCGCAAUAAUAAACCACUAGGUUCCUAUAGUAGCCAAGCCAACAAUAUUCCCUCCUAACGUUGGUUCUGAGCGCUUCAUCCGAGAGACAUUAGAGCAAAAUCAUCAACAAGUUCUUCAACCAUGAAUUGGAGUUGCCGGUAAUUACAAAGAGAAGUGAAACCAUCAACCAUGUUGUCAUCGUCAGAAUCAUCAGCCAUAAUUCCUUAGAUUGUUGUCGCGGAUGGCUUGAAUACAAAU